AGCGGCGGACGGGUGAGUAACACGUGGGCAACCUGCCCUGGAGCGGGGGAUAACAUUUGGAAACAGAUGCUAAUACCGUAUAACAACAAAAACCGCAUGGUUUUUGUUUGAAAGGUGGCUUCGGCUAUCACUUCUGGAUGGUUCCGCGGCGCAUUAGCUAGUUGGUGAGGUAAAGGCUUACCAAGGCGAUGAUGCAUAGCCGAGUUGAGAGACUGAUCGGCCACAAUGGAACUGAGACACGGUCCAUACUCC
Molecule: ribosomal RNA, 252 nt
Filed under: uncultured Lactobacillus sp.
Lineage: Bacteria; Bacillati; Bacillota; Bacilli; Lactobacillales; Lactobacillaceae
Description: partial 16S ribosomal RNA
Rfam family: Bacterial small subunit ribosomal RNA
Source: RNAcentral